Molecule: long non-coding RNA, 1292 nt
Filed under: Bubo bubo (Eurasian eagle-owl)
Lineage: Eukaryota; Metazoa; Chordata; Aves; Strigiformes; Strigidae
Description: lncRNA (ENSBOBG00000011460.1)
Source: RNAcentral
AUGAUCUGCAGACACCAGCUUUGGCGACACAGGCCUGUGCCUGGAAGGGCAGGCCAGCAGCAAGACACCCAGGGUUAUGCAAAUCCCAGUGGAUGGAGCCAGCUCUCAGUAUGCCUCAGGAGAGGAUCUCAAGCUCCCAGUGUGAGAGAGGUGCAAGGAGUUGCACACCAAGCUGGACGCCAGCUCUACCACCCUUGGGCACCAUGUAACUGCCUGUGGAGCCAUGAAGCACCAUCAGAGUUUUUUUGUGGAAACAAACCCCCCCAGUCAUUAGUGCAGAUCAUGUUAAACAUAACUAGUUCUUGCAGCAUGAGCAAUGCCCAGCCCGCAGUGGUGGGGGACCAGCCCAUAUCAGGGUCAGACAGUGCCCAAGCAUUGAUAUGGCCGAGGGCUCACCAGGGCAGCGCAGCAGGUCACAGGUCCUUGACUCUGUUGCUGUGCAGGCGUAGCCACAGGACCGGGUCCUCUUCUGGUUGCCACUGCCACAGGUGAUGCUGCAAGGGGACCAUGGGCUCCACUCCUCCUCAUCUUCAUAGUCUGUGCACAACAGGGGGAGGCAGAGAGCGGUGGACUUCAGCAAAGCCUCAGCAGGAGUGGAGCCAGCAGCCACCCAAAACCUCCCUCAACUCUGCCCUGUCCCUGGGAUGCCCUUCACAGGGACACAGGGCCAGAGCUGCACAGGGCACACUGAGGUGCCCAGUCACAUGAUGCCAAGGGCCAACCCUGUCCUCUCUGGCAACCCUAGGGAAGCAGCUCCCGAGCAAAGGCUCUCAUUCUCACAGUUUUGCUCAUGGUUGUACUGACCCAGACAGGCAUCGCUGCCCAUCCCCAUCCUCACUGAACCUGCCCAAUGCACUGGCCACGAUGCUGAAGCAUCAUGUGUUAGCAAAGGUUGACUGGUUUUGGGCUCAUGGCUGGGAAGCUGCAGGAGGGAACUGUUGUGGUGCGUGGUGCCCUGGCCUGUCUGCCCAUCGGCACCUGCCAUCUAGCCCUCUGCAGCUCCUCUCCUGGGAGGUGCCCAGGUCUGUGGCAAAGGCUUCUGGCACUGGUGUCACCGCAGGGACCCGAGUUGAUGGCAGCAGCACUUGCCAUUAAACAUUUACACUGUAUUUCUCAUCUGAGCAUGCCUUUGCUAGAGUCCAUGCUCCAGUCUGAUUACAUGCAAGGGCAAUUCCCGCUGAGAUGCUGGCGUGUCUGACUGCUGGCAGCCCCACCUGGGUGCCAGCCUUCCUCCUUGGCAUGCUUGCUUAUUUUUUAAGUAGGAGCUGAGCACCAGCAUGCUGUGAUCUCUG